Molecule: long non-coding RNA, 393 nt
Filed under: Solanum tuberosum (potato)
Lineage: Eukaryota; Viridiplantae; Streptophyta; Magnoliopsida; Solanales; Solanaceae
Description: long non-coding RNA (STUB_LNC002504)
Source: RNAcentral
UCUACUCUCAAUUAUAUGACCCUUAACAUUGAAUGUUUUCCAAAUUUGUAAAGGGAACUGAGGAAAAAAGCUAUAUUUACCAUACCUGGCACUUUAGCAAGCUCAUUAGCCAUACUUUUCGGAGUUAUGACUGGACUUGUUCACCGGGAUGAUAGGGACCUGACACCAAUCAACAUUUCAGGUCUUCUUGUUUAAAAUGUUUGCUAUCCAUAAAUAAUUGGUUUGAUCAAAGAUUAAUGGACCAGUAUAUAUAUAGAGAGAGAAAGAUUGAAGGUAUAAGAAAUGAGUAAAUAAAGUAGAAGGAGAUUGAGUACCUUCCAAAUGUUAGCACCUUAUCUUGUGGGAGAGAAAUUUAAGAGUAUUGAAUUUUUAGCUUUGAUGUUGGCAGUCUGG